GUUUGCAGUAAAGAAGGGGACCUGGUGCAAGAGCUACAAUUUAACCAGAACCAUUCAUUAACCAGGAUCGUUCAUUAACAGGGCAGACUCAGUAGUAGUUUUCAGCUCUCAUAAUUAAACUAAAUUAACUUGAGAAUUCCUUUGCCUAAAUUUGAUCUGACUCCUGUGGGCCUCUGACUCCUGUAAGGCAGGCAGGAACAGCAACUUAAUAAGGUGACCCGGCGGGUGUGAGCCGGCGGCAGGAAGGGACCAGACUCAGCUCUGCCCCAGCAGCCCGCCGGGCUUCGCUCACUGUCUGCUCCCCACGCCGAGGUCCUUUGGAGUCUCCGUGGAGGCUGCUCUGCGGGGAUGGAAUUCUUGCAGCAGACUCAUUGAUGCUCACAGAGAGGUCAGAGUGUAGGAGCUGUCCAGUGAGCGCAGGUUUGUGGAAGGUGAAAUCUUGGCAAGACCUGAAUAACAACCAGGGGGCCAGCGGAGGGUGGGGAGGAGCAUGUAGGAAGGAUUUUAUUCUCACUACCUAAGGCGAUACACGGCAAUUACUAUCGAGGAG
Molecule: long non-coding RNA, 550 nt
Filed under: Capra hircus (goat)
Lineage: Eukaryota; Metazoa; Chordata; Mammalia; Artiodactyla; Bovidae
Description: lncRNA (ENSCHIG00000002458.1)
Source: RNAcentral